GGUCCUGAGACUCACCCUGACGUGUUGUCUUGGUGUGCUGGAGCUCUCGUAGAUGGACCACUGUUCUUAUUCGCUGACUGGACCUGCUGUAGACCAGUCAGCCACACGAGCCAUGAUGG
This 119-nucleotide small nucleolar RNA is filed under the name Hucho hucho (huchen). Its description in RNAcentral is "Small nucleolar RNA SNORA3/SNORA45 family (ENSHHUG00000049662.1)". Lineage: Eukaryota; Metazoa; Chordata; Actinopteri; Salmoniformes; Salmonidae. The record is from RNAcentral.